GCAGACCUCUCUUCUUCCUCCUUAAUAGUGUUGAUCAUGAGAGCAAUUUGAUUCAUUGUAGGCCUAGCAUCUGGAGUGUUGUUAACACAUUUUAUAGCUAUCUGAAGCAAGUUCACCAUUCUCUCUUCACUUGCACCUUCUAAUAUAAGGGCCUUGUCGAAAACCUCUACCGUCCAUUCCUCUCGAACGACUGAAUGAACCCAUUUAGUUAAGUCUAUUCCAUUAUUCUGCACUAGCUUUCCUGUUAGUAGUUCAAGCAGAAUCACCCCGAAACCAUAGACGUCUAACUUGAAGGCAUUAGGAGAACUAGCCUCAGUUUUUUGCAUGCUUUUGAAACCAUUGACAUUGACAAGUGAAGAACAGUCUUGAUCAUCAAAAACCAUAAGUCCAUACUCG
Molecule: unclassified non-coding RNA, 396 nt
Filed under: Hevea brasiliensis (rubber tree)
Lineage: Eukaryota; Viridiplantae; Streptophyta; Magnoliopsida; Malpighiales; Euphorbiaceae
Source: RNAcentral